Molecule: long non-coding RNA, 2193 nt
Organism: Equus asinus (donkey)
Lineage: Eukaryota; Metazoa; Chordata; Mammalia; Perissodactyla; Equidae
Source: Ensembl
CUCCAGCGAACAGAGAUUACAUAGAUAUAUAUAGAGAUGAGAGGAAGCAAGCAAGAAAAUGCGGUUACCUCUGAGGCUGCAGAGAAGCUGUUAAGUGCUGGAGAUUUAAAGCUUCAUUCGCCUUUGUGCUAACUUCAAGCUGUUCUAAGCCCAGACGGCAAAACUCAGAGCAGCUGCGAGAGAAAGGAGAUUACUCCCUCUGGAGCCCUGGGUCUGAUUUAGAGGGUGCUUAGAGGAGGCAACUGGAAGGAAGGAGUAGAACACUCAGAGUUUUAUUUCUGGGGAAACUUUCUCUGCUGAAGAGAAGGCUAAGGACAGAAAAGAAACACUCAUCAGGCGUUUGUCACUGAUGCAAUGGAUGAGAUGAGAAUUGGGGCCUCAGUUAGGGCAGGAAAAAGUCAGGUUUCAUCUAAAGAAGAGCUCACCUACAAGAGUCAUUGCAUAGUGCCGGGACAGUCAGAAGGUAGGGUGGAAUAAUUGCCUCAUAAGAUUUGGAGAUUCACCUUUCCAGGAGCAAGAGGCUGGACCCAAUCACCUCAUAAGGUUGUUUCCCACUGAGUUUUAUUGGUCUUAAGAGCCUGUGGUUGGGGUACCCCGGAGCAAGGCAAAUUAGGUUUCCAAAUAGGACUGACUUGGUGGGGGUCACAGUAAGGAGGCCAGCUACAGGGUUGAGGGGACUUACCUGCCUAGCUCCCCUACUGGAGCAAGCAGAAAUAACUUUGAGGAGGCUGUAGUAGGAAAAGCCUGAAUCUGGGAAAGAAGCAGCAGAGAAAAGACUUUUUAAAGUGGCCGUUGUGAAGGAACGUGGAAGCUGAGGAAUAGCAAGAAUGAAGAGAGCUCCCCAUCCACCGGGAAACCCAGAGAAUUUCAGAGAUCUGAAACUGAGUAAUCUCUCACACAAGGGCAAUUGGGGCUGAGCCUGGGCCUGACCCUGAAUCCCAAGGGCAGGCUUUGGGAAUCUGAGGGGCAGCAGCUAACUGCCGGUGAGGAGGUGCUGUGUUCAUCCCUCAGUCAGGGGCAGAAGCUUUAUGUAACGAAGGGUUCUCUGAGCCAGCUCUGCAGCUGGUUAGGGCUCAGGCUUAAGGAUCUACAGGUAGAGGGUUGCCUUUUUUUCCUUCCAAAGGUAUGUGAUUGGGUAAAAGAGACAAUGCUACAUUUUCCUCAAAGAAAUAUCUGGCCUACAGAUCAAGAUGGACCUUCCAUCCUGGAAUGGAACUGCUACAGGGAACGACUGGGCAUGCCUCACCUCCUGGAGCCAUGCUGGUGGCCUGCAUGUAUCAUGGGAAUUUCUCAGAAUGGCCUAGCCUUGGCAACGGGUUGAGACAGGGGAGUUUGAAGCUUGUUUUAGGAUUCUCCCUUCACCAAAAACCUUUCUAGCCACCCACCCUGUGCUCCAUUCUUCUGGGACUUCUCUAUCAGUAUUUUGCCUUCCCAACUAAGGGGUGGUUGAGAGUCAAUGAAAAAAUAUUUAUUGAGCCUACUAUUUGUCCAGCAAGUAUAAAUAGUCCAUUCAUGUUACUCCUUAUGCCUCGGCUGCCAGAAAAACAAAGGUCAAAUUUAUUGCUAAAAUAGAAGCAGAACAUUCUCCAUGUCUGAAACCAUCAUUCCUUCUGGUUCUUUCAGAUGGAUUCCAUUUAAACUGAUCCCAGACUGUAUCCUUCUUUAGAGGCACCUUGAAUGAUAUCAAAAAAGGAGGCUGGAGGCAUAAAGAAGAUAAGCGUCUGUCCAAGGUCACCGAGCAAGUUAGGGGCACACGGGAAGAGGAUUAGACCCCCUGAUUUGUAAUCUUGUUCUCCUUCCACUGCACUUCACUUUUUGAAACCGAUUGUCAAUGCGCUAUAGCAGGCUUAAGUCCAAAUUAACGGAAUCUUCAAUGGAUAGAAUUCUUCAGGUAUUAUCACUAUUACUCAUUUACUAGAUUUUUACAGCUAUCUUUCUAAAAACUUCAAGACACAUUAUACAUAGACAUUGAGUCUUGUCAUGAAGGGUAAAGUAGAAGGCAAGGAAAUUAUGUGAAAAAAGAGGGUAGUAGGAAAACACUAAUUUGUGCUUUUAUUUGACCAGUGUUUAUAGCUGGCUUACUCUACUUUAGCACACAAUGCUGGCUGCCGAAGGAGAUAUAAGAAAAACAUACACCAGCAUUUGACUGUGUUAAAAAACAAAAUUCAGCUGAGUAAAUUUGAAGAUCUAAUU